GCUGAUGUGACAUAGUGGUUUGAGUGUUUGACUGCAACUCUGGAGACCAGGGUUCUAAUCCCAGCUCAGCC
This 71-nucleotide transfer RNA is filed under the name Phrynosoma platyrhinos (Desert horned lizard). Its description in RNAcentral is "tRNA-OTHER". It matches the Rfam family "tRNA". Rfam says of the family: Transfer RNA (tRNA) molecules are approximately 80 nucleotides in length. Lineage: Eukaryota; Metazoa; Chordata; Lepidosauria; Squamata; Phrynosomatidae. The record is from RNAcentral.